This 354-nucleotide ribosomal RNA is filed under the name uncultured bacterium. Its description in RNAcentral is "bacterial SSU rRNA". It matches the Rfam family "Bacterial small subunit ribosomal RNA", at positions 917 to 1269 of the family's 1533-position model. The record is from RNAcentral.
GGGCCCGCACAAGCGGUGGAGUAUGUGGUUUAAUUCGAUGCAACGCGAAGAACCUUACCAGGGUUUGACAUCCUGCGAAUCUCUUGGAAACGAGAGAGUGCCUUCGGGAACGCAGUGACAGGUGGUGCAUGGCUGUCGUCAGCUCGUGUCGUGAGAUGUUGGGUUAAGUCCCGCAACGAGCGCAACCCACGUCUUUAGUUGCCAGCAUGUAAUGAUGGGAACUCUAACGGGACUGCCGGUGCAAACCGCGAGGAAGGUGGGGAUGACGUCAAAUCAUCACGGCCCUUACGUCCUGGGCUACACACGUGCUACAAUGGCCGGUACAGAGGGCAGCCACAGCCGCAAGGUGGAGCG